UACCUGCAGCUCGAGUGGUAACCGCUAUUAUUGGGCCUAAAGCGUCCGUAGCCGGUUUGGUAAAUAUCUGGGUAAAUCGUGAGGCUUAACUUCACGAAUUUCGGAUAGACUGCCAGACUUGGGAUCGGGGGAGGUCAGAGGUACUCCAGGGGUAGCGGUGAAAUGUUGUAAUCCUUGGAGGACCACCGGUAGCGAAGGCGUCUGACUAGAACGAGUCCGACGGUGAGGGACGAAGCCCUGGGGCGCAAACCGGAUUAGAUACCCGGGUAGUCCAGGGUGUAAACUAUGUGGGCUUUGUAUUGGAGGUCCCACGUGGGCGUCCAGUGCAGAAGAGAAGUUGUUAAGCCCACCGCCUGGGAAGUACGGUCGUAAGGCUGAAACUUUAAAGGAAUUGGCGGGGGAGCACAGCAACGGGAGGAGCGUGCGGUUU
Molecule: ribosomal RNA, 430 nt
Filed under: uncultured archaeon
Lineage: Archaea
Description: bacterial SSU rRNA
Rfam family: Archaeal small subunit ribosomal RNA
Source: RNAcentral